UUAAGUUCAGCGGGUAGUCCUACCUGAUCCGAGGUCAACCUUGUGGCAUGCGUCCAGCGGACGCGGUUUCACGGCAGGGCCGCCGGCCGUCCAGAGCGUUGCAAAGAGUACUGCGCUCGGAGCCAGCCAGGCGGUCCCGCCACUCGCUUUCAGGGCCUCUCGUCGCUGAGAGGGCCCCAACACCACGCGGCGCGUGAGGG
This 200-nucleotide unclassified non-coding RNA is filed under the name Ascomycota sp. Its description in RNAcentral is "partial internal transcribed spacer 2". The record is from RNAcentral. Lineage: Eukaryota; Fungi; Ascomycota.